CGCAUCAGUCCCAUGCUUCAGACCCAUCUAUCUUUGGUCUUUCAAGUUAAACCCAAAGCAACAUCCAUCAUCUGCAUUUCUUCACUUUUGUGUCCCAUUCCUUCCAGGAUGCCUUCUUCCUUUCCCCCCUGCCCCCCAGGCCCACUCUGGUGGAGUGGGAAAGUCCAGUGCUUUGAUACCAGGUCAUGGAGAAUAUCUUUGAUUUUCCCUGCAGCUGCAUCGGAAGUCACCAGCUUUGGAGAAGCCAUGGAAAGAUCCACCCCAGAAGAAAAAGUCUAUUGAUGAAUCAUUUAAAAAUGAAUAAACAGAAGUCCCCUACACAGCCCAUCAAAUAUUA
This is a long non-coding RNA of Sapajus apella (tufted capuchin), 337 nucleotides long. RefSeq lists it as uncharacterized. NCBI's taxonomy places the organism in Eukaryota, Metazoa, Chordata, Mammalia, Primates, Cebidae. The transcript has 2 exons. The record is from RefSeq and is a predicted model, not a curated record.